GUUUUAAUAAUUUAAAUAAAAAUACUGGUCUUGUAAACCAGAAAUGAAAAACUUCUUAAAACU
This 63-nucleotide transfer RNA is filed under the name Longivalvus hyalospilus. Its description in RNAcentral is "tRNA-Thr". Lineage: Eukaryota; Metazoa; Arthropoda; Insecta; Psocodea; Psocidae. The record is from RNAcentral.